Lathyrus oleraceus (garden pea) is the source of this 2752-nucleotide long non-coding RNA. RefSeq lists it as uncharacterized. The record is from RefSeq and is a predicted model, not a curated record. The transcript has 5 exons. Lineage: Eukaryota; Viridiplantae; Streptophyta; Magnoliopsida; Fabales; Fabaceae.
AGAAGGGCAAAAUUUAAUAGGAUUUAGGCUUUAUGGAUAUAAAUGGCUAAACAUAAGGCUUAGGUUUAACGGAGAAGCUGAGCCAAAUUCAACCGGGUUUGGACUUUAGGGAUAUAGAGGGCCAAAUUUACACAAUUUAGGUUGGCCAGAGAAGAAGGGUUAAACAUAAAGUUUAGGCUGAAUGGAUAUGAAAAGUUAAACACAAAAUUUAGGUUUCAUGAACAUGAAAAAGAAGUUUGGGUUUUAAUGGAAAGGGGUCAAAUCAACAUUUUGGGCUUUAUGCGGAACGGGGGGACAAAUCUAACCAUAUUUGAGUUUGAUGGGUACCAGGACUAAACACAAAAUUUAGGCUUUUGCCGAACGUUGGCCAAACCAUGCUAGCAGGGCAGCGAGAGUUCUGUAAAACCGCCCUUCUUCAAUGCUUAGGAUCACUUUUGAACCGCCUUUGACAAUGAUAGGAGAUGUGACUAAAUUAAAACCCCUUAUUUUGAGAUAAUUAUUUUCACUCGUCUUUUCUAAUUUCAUGUUGCGCGCAUGGAAUGUAUUGUACAGAAACCAUUCUUUCUUUAGGUAGGGAAAACAUCAGCGAUAAACAAUAUUGUUUUCAUAAAAACCAGCAUCACCUAUCAUUUGUUUUUCAAAAUUCCUCUUUGUUUCACAAUCUCUCUCCCCUCCUCCGUAAUCUCGAACCCUAAAUCUGUAGUGAGAAAUUUAAGAUUUCAUUUUUGUAGAGACUCAUGAACCCUAUUUUGUGAAAGAAAUCUCAUAAUCAUUUUCCCUAAUUUCUCACAUUGGUCAAGGCAAUCUCACAAACCUUUUUCCAUAUUGUGAUUUCAACAUCAACACUUAAAUUGGUUCGAAAAAAGCUGUACGAUUAACAUUUAAUUUCAUUUACCAUCAAUAAAAUAAGUUCUGAGAUUUAGUAGAGGUAAAAAACCAUACACUUGUUGGGUUAUGAGUUAUUUCUUUGUGUGUUUUUGUUAUAUUCUCAAGAUUAAUUACAUAUUUUUCUUGUCGUAGUGAAUCUAAUAACCAGAGACUUAAGUUUAAUGUAGCUACUAGCGAGAAACAGAUGGCAUGUGUCGUGAGGGUACCAUUCAGUGAAGGUUAACACAAAGUUCUCACAUCAGAUCCUAUUGAAGACUUGAUAGCUCAUCGUGAACAUAGGUAUCAAAUCUUUGGAUCAUCUCUGCUUGUAGCCAUGGACCAGAGUCUCCAGGCUCCUUAUUCAGAUAUAUUAUCUGGUGAGUCUAGGGAUUUGUCUUCAAUACAAAUGGACACCAAAGAGGCGAUUGAUAGAUCUCAUUUUAGCAGUGAGACUUUGACAACAUUAGAUGACAUAAAUCGGAUAGUCACCCUGUUAACACCCAAUGUUUCAGUAUUGAGCUUGAUUUUUGAAGUUGUAUAUCAUAUUCACUUGGAUAACACCUAAAUGAUUCUUAAAAUUCUCCAUCACACCUUGCCAAAUAUAGCUAUAUGUAAUUUUAGAAACCUUGUUUAAUGAUUAAUUGGAGUUGAGGCGUGAGGUUUUCAUCAACUAUUGAUAGGUAGCUUCAUUUGUGAACUUGUUGAUAUCCUUAAAAUGGAAGUCCGGGGGAACAACAUAGUAGAAAGAGUGAAUCAUUUGCUGGUGUUCGUCCUACUUUUGAAAGAAUUUUAGCAAAUUUUCAUGAGCGGUUGACUUUUCGUACUAGGACUCGUAUACGGGAUGAGGAAAUGAGGGAAAUGUCACCAGAAAACUCCGAUGUGCUAGCUAAUGGGCAAACAACAUACACUUUGAAACGGAAGAAGCCAUAGUGGUACAUAGUUUUUUGUAUAAUCUAAUUAACACCUUCUGUUCAUAGUAACCCGCCCCUUUUCCAAACUAUAUGUAGGUAAUCAAUGGAAACAGAGCUGAAAGUAUACCUCAGCUCUAUGCCGAUGACUUUUUACUAUUUCUAUAAAUUAUUUCCAGGACUUGGAGGUGGAUGAUGACAAUACUUUAUUUGUCACUACCUCAAAUAAAGUAUGAAGAAUUCAAGGUGAGAAUCAAUGUACUUGUUGUAGAGUCUCGAAAGAAACCUGAAGAGGGGUGGGUGCUGCUAGAUGGUACAUGUGGUCAAAACACUUUAGAUUAAUGUGCAUCUUACUUAACUAAGAUUAUAUAUUAUGAUUGUUAUAAUUUAUUGUAUUAAUGUGGUUUAUAAGUUUAAUACUCUAAGUUAUGGCCUUCGUGUUUGGCCAUGGAAGUCUGUAGAACAUUCAUCAUAUACUCUUAAUAGUUGUGGUUAAUGGCAAUUCUAAAUCGAUCGCUAUAUAUAUUAUACAAUUAUGGUGGUUACAAGAGUUGCUAUUUUUAAUGAAAUAUAUAUUAUACAAUUAUGGCUAUUACAACUGUCGCAAUAAUAUAUUGGAGGCACUUUCAAAAUCGUUGCAGAAUGUUAUGGCAGUUGGAGCGACAGUUUUACAAAUCGUCGCAACACAGCCUCGCGAUGCACAUUUCUUGGAGAUGCAAUUGUCAUAACAUGCAAAUUGUGGCGGUUCUAACCGUCGUAACCUGUUAAAAUGAAUCGUCGCAAUUUGUCAAUUUUCAUGUGGUAAAUACGCCACUUCUUGACUUAUGACUGUGGGAAUCUCCUCGACUAAGGUUGGAACCACAAAACUGUCGAUGCUAGUUAUCUCCAAUUGUCUCAUAGGUUUGGAGUAUUACUUCGGGAAGAGCUUUGGUUUUUUCGAGACAUAUCAGAAAGUCGCUUACCAGUCCUCAAGUGCA